GAUGAACGCUGGCGGCGUGCUUAACACAUGCAAGUCGAACGAAGAUGCCGGAGUGCUUGCACUUUGGCAGACUGAGUGGCGGACGGGUGAGUAACGCGUGGGUAACCUGCCUUAUACAGGGGGAUAACAGUUGGAAACGACUGCUAAUACCGCAUAAGCGCACGGUAUCGCAUGAUACAGUGUGAAAAACUCCGGUGGUAUAAGAUGGACCCGCGUCUGAUUAGCUUGUUGGUGAGGUAACGGCCCACCAAGGCGACGAUCAGUAGCCGGCCUGAGAGGGUGAACGGCCACAUUGGGACUGAGACACGGCCCAAACUCCUACGGGAGGCAGCAGUGGGGAAUAUUGCACAAUGGGGGAAACCCUGAUGCAGCGACGCCGCGUGAGUGAUGAAGUAUUUCGGUAUGUAAAACUCUAUCAGCAGGGAAGAUAAUGACGGUACCUGACUAAGAAGCACCGGCUAAAUACGUAGCCAGCAGCCG
This 480-nucleotide ribosomal RNA is filed under the name uncultured bacterium. RNAcentral's name for it is "bacterial SSU rRNA". It matches the Rfam family "Bacterial small subunit ribosomal RNA", at positions 28 to 517 of the family's 1533-position model. The record is from RNAcentral.